RNAcentral lists this ribosomal RNA (254 nucleotides) under uncultured bacterium. RNAcentral describes it as "partial 16S ribosomal RNA". It matches the Rfam family "Bacterial small subunit ribosomal RNA", at positions 524 to 776 of the family's 1533-position model. The record is from RNAcentral.
GACGGAGGAUGCAAGCCGUUAUCCGGAAUGAUUGGGCGUAAAGCGUCCGCAGGUGGCAGUUCAAGUCUGCUGUCAAAGACCGGGGCUUAACUUCGGAAAGGCAGUGGAAACUGAACAGCUAGAGUAUGGUAGGGGCAGAGGGAAUUCCUGGUGUAGCGGUGAAAUGCGUAGAGAUCAGGAAGAACAUCGGUGGCGAAGGCGCUCUGCUGGACCAUAACUGACACUCGAGGGCGAAAGCUAGGGGAGCGAAUGGG